UUUUUUACCUAUCCUUUAAUUCAGUAGGCUUUUCAUUUUUAGAGAUCUUUGUCACUUGAGCGUCCAACUGCAUGAAUAUUUGUUGGACACAUAUUACAUGUCGUGUCUUGUGUCGUGUCGACAUGAGUAUGGCAGGGCAUAAUGAAGAGUCAGAGUAUUAGAGCCAUUAGCCAUAUUCCAACACCCACCAAGUGCAACAGUGUUUGGUUCAAACUUCAUAGGCUCAGUUGUCACGUGGCAUUGCAUGAGGUGGCCCAUCUAACUUGGAUUUGGCUCCUCUUGGCUCUGCCCUCAAGGUCUAGCUCAUUGGAUUAGCCGAUGGAUCCACCUAAGGUUGGUUCGAUUAGCUUAGCUCAUGCUUUUGUUGGAAUAUAUGCCUUGUGGGAACAAGUCCCUCAUCGGCAGUUUACAAGACAAUUAAAGGGUAUAUAUGUAUUGGCAAACUAAACAAAGAUGGCUUAGGCCAUUUUGGUGAUGAGGAGUCUAGUUGUGAGCCCAAUUCAGUGCGUAUACUGCAGCAUGCCAAUUUGAUAUUCACACUCCUAGGUCCGUAUAAUUUUUAACAGAUUUAUGCUAUCAGGACAACUUUCCUGUCAAACUUACUUCUCUAGUCAUUGUCUGUCUACAAUAGCACUGGAGCUUUGAGAUGUCAAGUGAAUGAUGUUUUGUUGUUAACCUAUUUUUCAGCCUAUGCCGCUAUUAUUCUGUUUGUUCAUCAUUUGUGUAUUUCUUCCCAAUUUGUUAUGAAUAUGUUGGUGUUUGCUUGAUUUUUGGCCUGGUGUUUUCUAUUAUCUGUUGCCAGACAUGCAAGAUUCUGAUGUUCAAGUUUCUUAUCCUGCAGUUUUAUAGACCUUCCAAA
Molecule: unclassified non-coding RNA, 859 nt
Filed under: Hevea brasiliensis (rubber tree)
Lineage: Eukaryota; Viridiplantae; Streptophyta; Magnoliopsida; Malpighiales; Euphorbiaceae
Source: RNAcentral